AUGGCUCAAGUGGGCUGGAGUUGGGUAUUUCCCUUCCCAAGGUCAGUUAGGCUGUGAUAAUACCCCAGCAGGUUAGGCUCUGAUUAACUAGUUUCACUUGAGGGCAGGCCUUAUUAAGAAGAACAGAGCACUCUGACCUAUUUCAAAAUGGUUCCUUUUCCCUUCUCCUUGCAGGAAGCAGGAAGGGAUUUUUUUCUCACAUAUUUACUGUGCGAACCUGGCCGAGCUCCUGGAGAUAUAUCUCACAGUAUUGUGGGGAGCCCUCUUAUGACUGCCUCUUCCUGGAGUUUUUAAUUCUCAGAGUUGUAUACCCUGAGCCUUCAGCAACUUGUCGAUUAUAGCUCCAGUUUUUCUAUUCUGUACUUGUUCCAAUGGGAGUUUCUGCUGUUGAGUCUCUGCUUUGGUGUGGCCGUCCUGGUAGGCAUUGUGCUUCCUUCCAAAGGAUAGUGCUUUUCUGAGGGGCACAAUCAUCUUCCAUUUCAACUGCUGAGUGCAAGCCUCUGUGAUAGUCAUGAAGUGUAAUCCUCUAUUGCAAAGGGAAGGAAUGACACUUUCUCCUGUGUAUGUGUGUAUGAAAAUUUUGAAAUAAUUUCAAGCCUACAAAUAGUCCUGAGAAUUAUCAAAGAAAUACAAACCAGCCUUUCAGAAUCUGGAUAAACUAUGAAAUCCUGCAUUAUACAGAAUGUCAAACAGACAUAAAAGCCAGCAGAGCAUCAACUGUGGAGCUUAGGAAUCAUCUCAGAAAGAAGUUUACAAUGAAAAUCUUGCUGAGUCCAGAGUCUGAAAGAACUGAAGACUACGGUCGUUUUGACCACAGGAGGAGUCAUUGUCUGAGCCAAAGGACCAUGGGGGCAACUUUGAACCAGGAUAAGUACGAAAGUUGACUAAUACUCAAACUGAUGAGGGUCCACACAUGGAGAAGAUUUUGCCCCAGGAUGGAUCAUACCCAAAGUCUCACCCAUACGUGAUUUUGACAAUAUAGACAAUGAGACUUGGGUGUUUUGAAUGGAUGCUACAAGGGAUUGAGGCUUUAGGGAUGUUAAGAUUGGGUAAAGGCUUUUUGCAUGUGGGAUGGAGAUGAAUCUUGGGAGACCAGAGGAUGGACUGUGGUAGGCAGAAAAAUUAUCUCCCCCAGCCUCCUAACAUGUUCGUCUUCUAAUACCUGGAACCUAUGAAUAUAACUUACAUGAUGAAAGAGACUUUGUAGAUCUUUAAUUAAAGAUCUUGAGAUGGAUAAAUUAUCUUGGAUUAUCUGAGUAGGCCCAAUAUAAUGGCAAGAGUCCUAAUAAAUGAAAGAAGAAGGCAGGAGAGCGAACAGGCAAUGUGAUUACGGAAGCACCCAUCAGGGUGAUUUGAUUGUGGAAAGGAGACUAAGCCAAGAAAAGAGGGUAAUCUCUAGACACUGGAAAAGGCAAAUAAAUUUAGUCUCUCCUUGAGUCUCCCGAAGGAAUGCAGUUCUGCCAACAUCUUGAUUUUAGCCUAAGGAGAUGAAUUUUGGACUUCUGACUCUCAGAACUGUAAAGUAAUAAAUUUAUGUUGUUUUGAGCCACUAAAUUGGUGGUAAUUUGAUAUCGCGUCAAUAAGAAACUAAGACAAUAGUCAGACCUCUCACCCUUUCAUCAAAAGGACUCGUUAAACCAUCUCCCUUUUCCUCAAACAUCUCACCUUGUCACCUUCUUUCUCACCCUCAGCACAAAUCUUUACUUCCUAAGUUAUAAACACGAUAAUUAUCCAGAAAAUUCUUCACUAUGCUUCAAGUAACCCUGUCUUCAUAUGUAAUUUUAAUAUAGAAAUGAUAUACAAGUUUUAUAUACAUUUUAUUAAUGAAAAUGAAGGAAAGUGUCCUCUUUAAAGAGUUAAUAUAGAUAUAGAAUUAAUACAAG
Molecule: long non-coding RNA, 1883 nt
Filed under: Equus caballus (horse)
Lineage: Eukaryota; Metazoa; Chordata; Mammalia; Perissodactyla; Equidae
Description: lncRNA (ENSECAG00000059017.1)
Source: RNAcentral